Molecule: RNase P RNA, 615 nt
Filed under: Candidatus Moranbacteria bacterium CG_4_9_14_3_um_filter_36_9
Lineage: Bacteria; Candidatus Moraniibacteriota
Also listed under: 1 other name
Description: RNase P RNA component class A
Rfam family: Bacterial RNase P class A
About the family: Ribonuclease P (RNase P) is a ubiquitous endoribonuclease, found in archaea, bacteria and eukarya as well as chloroplasts and mitochondria.
Source: RNAcentral
AGAGCCAAUUAGGCAAUCGCUCCGACUUUAUGUCGGAGAGGAAAGUCCGGACAUUCUCGGUGAAAAUCGAGUCAAGGGUAAUGGAUAACGUCCAUCGUCUGCCUCGCGAGGGGUAUGAUAGGGAAAGUCCCGCCGUUGGCGGGAUCCCGCUUCUUUGUGAAAAGGGGCGGUGAUGCCACAGAGACAAUACUAACCAAUUUUGAUUGAGUUUAGCCCAGCACCUUUUCUGCAAACAAAUUUUUUUAACAGUUUAUUUUUCGUAGAGAAACGACUGCGUCUUACGCUGUAUUAAAUAUAAGUUUGUUAAUGGAAAAGGUGCAUGGGCGCUCAAUCUUGUAGCUGAGCUGAAUCUCAGACAAAAUUGGCGAAAGGUGAAAAGAAUAUUAGUGUUUUUAAUUCCUUGUUCGCUUUAUCAGCUGAAUAGCGAAAUUAAGAGCUAUGAUAUUUAUUUGUUAGUGAUAACAAAAUAGGGAAAACCCUACUUGAUGCAAGGCCGUACUCCGACGUUACGUCGGAGGGUGCCGCUAGAAUUCGAUGGCAACAUCGGAUCAAGAUAAAUGAUUGUCGUCCCGAGUUCUCGGGAUACAGAAUCCGGCUUAUAGAUUGGCUUUGAAA